UAGCCAUCGCCGCCAUGUUCAUGCCCGCUGCGUGCGCUGCACGGUGCAGGUGGUAGGACGUUGCUGCGACGAGUUCGCUGGGUGUCGUCACAAAAUUCCCGGCUGCUGCGUGCCGUUGUGCAGUAAUCACUCAAGGAAUGGUUGGCGAAUGUUUCAGUUUCCAAGAGAUCCAAAAAGAAGAACUUUGUGGACUGCAAGGAUCAAGCGGGACAAAUGGCAGCCCACGAACACCUCGUGCAUAUGCUGUUUUUGCCUCGUCACAGAAAGGCACCAAAGGAUAGGACCGGACCCGCUGUCCUCUCGGCCCUACCUCAAUAUCAACACGACGUAGCCACUGAUGAUCAUGCAGCUGCGAUGGACCCAAUGUCGUCACCAGGCAGGUUUGAGCUGACUCAAGGACAGAAUUGCAGCCCACACGACGCCAACUCAAGUGCACUGAUAGCAGACGAAGCAGGUCUGUAAGUCUCAGCCUGUGGAAUGAAUGCUGGAGUCUCAGACCUGCAGGCUGCUUGUACCUCUUGCGCAGAAUUAAGUAAGCAGCUCGCAGACCUGACACGGAAAUACUGCGAACUUCAAGAAUUGCAUACCCAGGCAAACUCAACAAUCCAAGGUCUCCGAAAGAAAGUUAAGACGCUCGAAGGUAAAACGAAGGUAAAACGGGUAAACGAAGGUAAAACGGGAGCUGAAAGUCGCGCCAAAGCUGUCGGACAUGCACGUGUCGAACGGGAAUUUUACGAAGAUUAAGGUGGGAGUGGCCGUUCAGUUUUUUCGAGAAGCUCCUGCCGGGAUUCGGUACUUGAUAAAGCAGAAGAUCUUGGAUCCGGAGGCGAAACUACAGCGUGGUUUUUAGAGGUUGUCUUUAAGUGGUAUGCUCUUAUGUCAUCAUGACACCCAUCAACUGCCUUGAGUCUUGAACACAUGGACAAAUAUCACGCAGCCAUAGACGUGUUGUGCUUGGCGUCUGAGACCAUUCGGGGAACAAACAUGGGGAGUACAUCCCAAUGGAAGCCCUCUCAGGUGGGUUUCUUGAUAGCCACAGACGUGACCUAAGAAAUGAAGGCUACAAGUCCUUCCUCACGAGCCGAUUGCUCCAGGACUGCUUGGAAAACCUGUUGUCGGUUAUACGUCUCAGGAAGCCUGUUCCAAGCGCCUACAAUAUGAAGUGUGCGUUGAAGCUUGUUUGUGUCAGCCAAUUCUUCCACACACCGUCAACGACUAGCUACGAUGUCGAUGACGCACAGUACCUGAUCGACCUGCUGUCGGCAGGUAUGCAAGAAGAAGCGGCAGCCGAGAUUGAAUCGGAGAUCCCGUUUGUCGAAGAGCUAACAUCAGCUGAGUGCGAGAUUUUGUUUCAUAUCGGUGGGUUUCUUAUAAAAGGGAUCCUUAAAUCUAUUGGCCACUGCGAGCAGUGCAAGCCUGCAUUGUCAGCCUCAAGCAGCAGUGAGCAUGCGUACUUGACGUCCCUCAAGGAAUACGUCUCUGAAGGCAGCAACCUUCAUUACCCAAGCGAUCUUGCGAGGAACAUUUUAAUGGUAUCACCACCUGGAGGGAAAGCGUUUUCACCAUGAAAUCUCCUUUGAAAGCUGUAAUCGCAUACUUGACAAAGAUGUUGUGGUGGGGCGUAACUGGCGCCUGUCAGGAACACAAAGAAACAGUGGAAAAGCACACGCGAGACUAAGGCUGCGUGUGCACCUGCGUCAAGCCGCGGCAACGGGACUUCACGGGCAUGCAAGCAAGACGUGUGCAGGAGUGAGCCUACAGUGAACACUGAAAUUAAAUUUUAAUGCAUAUCACCAGAAUUCAAAAACUUUCGUUUCAUUUGUGUUACUCUUUUAAUAUAGUUUUCAUUCAUCUGUUUAUUCUUACUUUGCUGUGCGUGCUGAUUUUUCACCUUGUGUCUGUACAAGCUUCCCGCUUUUUUUCCAAUUUAUCGAGCUGAGCUGCAAGCUGACAUUCUAAUUUAUUUUGUUCAAGUUAAUUCAAGGCUUCUUUGUAGUUUCUGGUCGUUGGUCUGAGAUCUACGAAAGACCUGCGGCAAUUGACACCUCCUGACAGCUGACAUAAUAAAAACCUGCAUGGCGACCCAAACGUCGUGACCGAAAUCAGGUGUCUACUUGUCACUUAUUGACCUCUUUUAUUUACCACCGGCAUCUUCUUAUGCAGUAGGAGUUUCCAGGGCUGCAUACCAACACGCUCACAAGCAACACAGGUUCACGGUGCAACUCUUCGCGAAGAACAGAAGUGCUGGCAGCGUAGCAAUUUUUUGCAUUCCUCUAUGAACGCUUGUGUUAAACGCAUCAUUUCCCACUGUGAAACAAAAUGAUUGCCGCGGAACCUAAUUUCUGUAUUUACAGUUCGUAAACAAAACACGCCAGGCCGCUGAUCAGGGGUUGCAACGCGUUUUACGAGGGUACUUCCAGACGACAGCAUUAAAACGACACUAAAUAGAAACAGGAAGUUGAGCUGGCAUAAAAGACGGGCCUUAUAGGGAGUGCGCACAUAUUUUAUUCGGCACAAAAAUAUUUCUUGAUAGUAGAGAAAUUCGUAAUCGAAGUAAUUAAAAAAGCGCAUUGCUUCUGUCAAACCGCUCAUCCACACGCGCGCCAACAACGCGCCGCUCGCAGCGGGCAAGAACAUGGCGGACGCCGUAACAGACGACGUACUUGUCUCCACCCUGAACGGAGCGGCGGGCGAGGAGGACAUCGAGGCACCCUAACCCCACUUCCUGUUGCGGAGGAAGUGACGAUUACUAGGCUAGCGAGUGCUCGACCACUGGCUUGACGAGCAUAGAGUUAGUAGAACAACUCUAGAGGAAAAGCUGGGCCGGAAAAGUGGGAACCUCUAGGGCGCCGCCCUGUUGCUACUGGUCAAUGUGGCCAGCGCAAUUACUAUUGAAAGAGCUGAAAACAAGUACAGGUCACCUUAUGCUUUGUCAUCUAAAAACGCACGCAUAGCUAAUGGCUUUAUGAAGGUGGUACGUUAAUAUUAAGUUUACAGAAAGCAAUCGCUAAGUCCGUGACUUAUGUAAAUCACGAUGUACGCAUUCAUGCAAUAAAGGAUGACGCGAAUUUCGGUUUCGAACCUGUUUUUUGGAUGCGUAGCAGUUUCGUACAGUUUAGGUUUGACAUGCGAUCGCGCGUCGACAGUGCCUUAUGUGCCACCGAAGCCCCGAAGUGCUCUGGCAUAUACCUUCACAUGUAAGUAAACGAAUGUAUCUCCUUGUUGAGAAUAUCACGCUAGUAGGCAGCUCUUGUGGUGCAUCACAAUCGUUUGAGAAGCGUCACAGUAGAGCAUUUUUCUACAUGCGGAGCGGUGUUUUUAUUUGCAGGUUUCCCUUCAGUAGGAAAUUGCUGGACAGGCGGACCAGUGCACCGGAAUUGUACUGGCGAAGCCACAAGCAACUCAAAGAAUCUGUUUAAUUGUUGCACUUUGAACAAUCAUGCCUCUACAAAGGCCACAGCAGAAAAACAGCCUGAUGCCGAGUAUUUCUGUGACACGAAGUAAUCAAGAGGCGAGUGCCUAAUGCGGACGAAAUCGAGUGCAUCGAGACUUAGAACGACAGAAAGCUGAGCUUGUUGGUAAGGAUUCAUUAUGCAAAAUAGAGGUGAGGCGUGCAGACAGGACACAAGAGUAGAGAAGUGGGCGGCGCUCGUGUUGUUUGCUUGUAAAUACUCUACUCUUGUGUCCUGUCUGCACGCCUCACCUCCGUUUUGCAUAACGAGUGAAUCAACCCAUAUAUUAAUAGCGUAGGCGUUUUAUUAUAUUGUGCAAUAUUUUCAACACUUCCUUGCAUGCCAUUUCAUGUGGAAUAUCUUUUCUUGUCACAAAUUUGUGCAGCGAAUCUAUUUGCAUGAUCGACUCCGGGCCUGUGGGACCGUUCAUUUGCACUUGAUGCUGAGUCUUUUACGUGUAUCCAUAAACUGCAGAUAUGCACAUCAGAUCCCUGCGAGCAUUUUCGAAAUUAAAUUAUUUUAGACAACAGGCACAUAUGCAAUGCUGACAUAAUCUCAAAUACCACUAAGCAGCUGGGACACAUUUUUGUUGACCAUACUCGCAGGUAAAAUAAGUAGAUCAUGUGGACAGCUCCAGCUCAUUUUUCUUAAAUCAGUGUGUACAAGGGGUAUGCAAAAAUAAUUUUUUUCUCUCGCACCGAUUAUUUUGCUGUAUAAGCAAGAGAACCCACCAUGCUAGUGUAACGUAUCUUGUACAUCACACUAAUAUGUGCUUUAAUUUACCAAGUGAAAUGAGUUACUUUUAUGGCUCAUUCAGUCAUAUCACACUGCAAGCUUCAUUCAUCAAUCUUCAAUUGGAUUUUGCAAAUGUUUAAUGAAACAUGUUUCCCUUUUAUGCAGAUAUGCAAUGGCAAGCCCUUCCUUGUGUUCCAAAGGUAUAAUUUAAGCUCUAAAUUAAAGAAGACAUUUCUAGUCAGAAACAAGCAAAAAUGGUGAAUGCAGAGUAUCAGAAGCCCAAGGUACAGAAAUUAUGAGAAAUGUCGAAUGAUUUUAAGGAAAGAGUCGUAUUUGAAAAUUCAAGACUCUUUAGUGGAGUUCAAGCAAGUCAAUAUACGUAGAAUACUCUGCAAAAUUAUGCGAGUGAGGGGAUGUCAAACAAUGGGUCAGGAAAUGCAUUGUUUUUCUGCAAAACAAAAGCUGAUUGCCAUUACAUAAGUCACUUUAGCAUCAUGAGACUGCUGCUUGGUAAAUUCAGAAAUAAACCAAAAAAUGGGACACGCAAAAAUAAAAAACAAUUUAAUGAUGCUCUCUCCACACUGGGAUAAAUAAAAUAAAAACAAACACAUCACAUCUAAUGUAGACAUAUCAGACGCCUUCUGAAACACUAAAGGAAAAAUUCAGUUUUGAGCUAUGGCACUUGCCACAUAGAUGUGGGGGGCCUUGCACUAAUAGUGAUAGUUACCACUGCAUUUAGAAAUUAAAGCAUUCAUGCAGACAAGGAUGAUUCUUUAUAUUUUUGGCUACCACUUCAAAUGCCUCCACCAAGUGUUACAAUGCUGCACGCAGCCAUACUAAGGAUCUCGCAGCAACACCUGCAGGUAAAAAGAAGCAGUCAAAGUGAUGGUGUGUACUGAACACUAUGUUUGAAAACCAUUAGGCAAGAAGAGUGCAAGAAGCAGACAUAACUGCAUUUAUUUCCAUAAUUCCCCAUUUGAAUGGCCUUUUCUUUUUGCUUAGACAAUGCCUACGCCUAGCCACAGCAGCUCCCUCAUACAGACUCCGCAAGCCAAGAGGCCGUGGAGGCAAAUGCAGGCAGCCAGCACACCUCGAACAACAGCCACCUUGACUGCGGGUGUGUCACCCUAGUCGCCAAGGAAACAUCUGAGGGAAAGCGACAGGCAAUGUGAACAGCCACUUCUCCAUGUAAACGAUACUCUUUCUCUCGGAUGACUCCUACGCCUCGCCACGACAGCACACUUGUGCACAAAGAUGCCGCGGAGGCACGUGCAGGUCAGAGGCAAUAAGCAGUGGCACUGGUGUCGACAUUCACCCAAUUUCUUUUUCUUCCACUGAGGCAGCCAGCACACCUCGACUGCGGGUGUGUCAGUAGAUUCCUGUUGUACAUAUGCUCAUAACAAACUUCAGUAAACUUGAACUUGAUAAUAAACUUGGAGGCAAAUGGGA
Dermacentor andersoni is the source of this 5636-nucleotide long non-coding RNA. RefSeq lists it as uncharacterized. NCBI's taxonomy places the organism in Eukaryota, Metazoa, Arthropoda, Arachnida, Ixodida, Ixodidae. The record is from RefSeq and is a predicted model, not a curated record.